Molecule: ribosomal RNA, 676 nt
Filed under: Streptomyces sp.
Lineage: Bacteria; Bacillati; Actinomycetota; Actinomycetes; Kitasatosporales; Streptomycetaceae
Description: bacterial SSU rRNA
Rfam family: Bacterial small subunit ribosomal RNA
Source: RNAcentral
GAUGAACCACUUCGGUGGGGAUUAGUGGCGAACGGGUGAGUAACACGUGGGCAAUCUGCCCUUCACUCUGGGACAAGCCCUGGAAACGGGGUCUAAUACCGGAUAACACUCUUACGGGCAUCUGUGAGGGUUAAAAGCUCCGGCGGUGAAGGAUGAGCCCGCGGCCUAUCAGCUUGUUGGUGAGGUAAUGGCUCACCAAGGCGACGACGGGUAGCCGGCCUGAGAGGGCGACCGGCCACACUGGGACUGAGACACGGCCCAGACUCCUACGGGAGGCAGCAGUGGGGAAUAUUGCACAAUGGGCGAAAGCCUGAUGCAUCGACGCCGCGUGAGGGAUGACGGCCUUCGGGUUGUAAACCUCUUUCAGCAGGAAAGAAGCGAAAGUGACGGUACCUGCAGAAGAAGCGCCGGCUAACUACGUGCCAGCAGCCGCGGUAAUACGUAGGGCGCAAGCGUUGUCCGGAAUUAUUGGGCGUAAAGAGCUCGUAGGCGGCUUGUCACGUCGAUUGUGAAAGCCCGAGGCUUAACCUCGGGUCUGCAGUCGAUACGGGCUAGCUAGAGUGUGGUAGGGGAGAUCGGAAUUCCUGGUGUAGCGGUGAAAUGCGCAGAUAUCAGGAGGAACACCGGUGGCGAAGGCGGAUCUCUGGGCCAUUACUGACGCUGAGGAGCGAAAGCG